RNAcentral lists this unclassified non-coding RNA (350 nucleotides) under soil metagenome. RNAcentral describes it as "partial contains 5.8S ribosomal RNA, internal transcribed spacer 2, and large subunit ribosomal RNA". The stretch from base 1 to 120 matches the Rfam family "5.8S ribosomal RNA", at positions 35 to 154 of the family's 154-position model. The record is from RNAcentral.
GAUGAAGAACGUAGCGAAAUGCGAUAAGUAAUGUGAAUUGCAGAAUUCAGUGAAUCAUCGAAUCUUUGAACGCACAUUGCGCCCGCCAGUAUUCUGGCGGGCAUGCCCGUUCGAGCGUCAUUUCAACCCUCAAGCCCAGCUUGGUGUUGGGGAUCGGCACAGGCGCCCUCGGGCGCCCGCCGUCCCCUAAAUCUAGUGGCGGUCCCGCUGCAGCCUCCUCUGCGUAGUAGUUUUCUCCUCGCAAGGGCAGCUCGGUGGCGACCUCGCCGUAAAACCCCCAACUUCUGAAAGGUUGACCUCGAAUCAGGUAGGAAUACCCGCUGAACUUAAGCAUAUCAAUAAGCGGAGGA